This 329-nucleotide ribosomal RNA is filed under the name bacterium ocnta10lb506onp10.8. RNAcentral's name for it is "bacterial SSU rRNA". It matches the Rfam family "Bacterial small subunit ribosomal RNA", at positions 51 to 378 of the family's 1533-position model. The record is from RNAcentral.
ACACAUGCAGUCGAGCGGUAACAGGAUUAGCUUGCUAAUUUGCUGACGAGCGGCGGACGGGUGAGUAAUGCCUAGGGAACUGCCCAGUCGAGGGGGAUAACAGUUGGAAACGACUGCUAAUACCGCAUACGCCCUACGGGGNAAAAGAGGGGACCUUCGGGCCUUCUGCGAUUGGAUGUACCUAGGUGGGAUUAGCUAGUUGGUGAGGUAAUGGCUCACCAAGGCGACGAUCCCUAGCUGUUCUGAGAGGAUGAUCAGCCACACUGGGACUGAGACACGGCCCAGACUCCUACGGGAGGCAGCAGUGGGGAAUAUUGCACAAUGGGCGC